GUAUGUAGCUGCGGUUGGGCUGCUUUUUCGAUAACUUCUGUCAGCGUGACAUCAAUUCAGUUCGCGUGGACCUCGCAGCUUUCGCCAUUUUAACAACACUUCAUAUAUGAGAAGUGGCGUCGAUAAGGCGAGACAAGAGCCUUCAAUUUCUGCUACUGAGAUGUCAUGUCGUUGCCCAGUUGUGCAAUUUCCACAAAGAUAAACAUGUGGAGUGUGAGAUACUUUCAGUAUACUACGUUGGCACAGAAGGAAUGAUUGAUUUACUAAGCACCUGAAGAAAUUACGGAGGAGAAAAAGUACCAAAACUGAACUGACAUG
Limulus polyphemus (Atlantic horseshoe crab) is the source of this 318-nucleotide long non-coding RNA. RefSeq lists it as uncharacterized. NCBI's taxonomy places the organism in Eukaryota, Metazoa, Arthropoda, Merostomata, Xiphosura, Limulidae. The record is from RefSeq and is a predicted model, not a curated record. The transcript has 3 exons.